CCUUAAUGACCGAUAGUGAACCAGUACCGUGAGGGAAAGGUGAAAAGAACCCCGGGAGGGGAGUGAAAUAGCACCUGAAACCGUGUGCCUACAAGAAGUUCGAGCCCGUCCAUGGGUGAGAGCGUGCCUUUUGUAGAAUGAACCGGCGAGUUACGUUAUGAUGCGAGGUUAAGCUGAAGAAGCGGAGCCGUAGCGAAAGCGAGUCUGAAUAGGGCGCUUUAGUAUCAUGAUGUAGACCCGAAACCUAGUGACCUAUCCAUGAGCAGGUUGAAGGUGCGGUAAAACGCACUGGAGGACCGAACCAGGACACGUUGAAAAGUGUUUGGAUGACUUGUGGAUAGCGGAGAAAUUCCAAACGAACUGGGAGAUAGCUGGUUCUCUCCGAAAUAGCUUUAGGGCUAGCGUCGCAAUUUAAGUGUAUUGGAGGUAGAGCACUGUUUGGAUGAGGGGCCCAUCUCGGGUUACCAAUUUCAGAUAAACUCCGAAUGCUAAUACACAUGUGCGGCAGUCAGACUGCGAGUGCUAAGAUCCGUAGUCGAAAGGGAAACAGCCCAGACCACCAGCUAAGGUCCCCAAAUAUAUGUUAAGUGGAAAAGGAUGUGGGGUUGCACAGACAACUAGGAUGUUAGCUCAGAAGCAGCUAUCAUUCAAAGAGUGCGUAAUAGCUCACUAGUCGAGUGACCCUGCGCCGAAAAUGUACCGGGGCUAAACAUAUUACCGAAGCUGUGGAUCAAUAAUAUAUUGAUGGUAGGAGAGCGUUGUAAUCAGCGAUGAAGGUAUACCGUGAGGGGUGCUGGAGCGAUUACAAGUGAGAAUGCCGGUAUGAGUAGCGCAAGAUAAGUGAGAAUCUUAUCCACCGUAAGACUAAGGUUUCCAGGGGAAGGCUCGUCCGCCCUGGGUUAGUCGGGACCUAAGGCGAGGCCGAAAGGCGUAGUCGAUGGCCAACAGGUUGAUAUUCCUGUACUAGUAUUGUUAGUGAUGGAGGGACGCAGUAGGCUAAAGGGAGCCAGUUAAUGGAUUCUGGUCUAAGCAGUGAGGUGUGGAAAGUGUCAAAUGCAUUUUCCUUUAACAUUGAGCUGUGAUGGGGAAGCGACAGCAGUUGCGAAGCCCUUGAUGUCACCCUGCCAAGAAAAUCUUCUAGCGUUUAAAGCAAUACUACCCGUACCGCAAACCGACACAGGUAGUCGAGGCGAGUAGCCUCAGGUGAUCGAGAGAACUCUCGUUAAGGAACUCGGCAAAAUGACCCCGUAACUUCGGGAGAAGGGGUGCUGUAGAAAUACAGCCGCAGUGAAAAGAUCCAAGCAACUGUUUAUCAAAAACACAGCUCUCUGCUAAACCGCAAGGUGAUGUAUAGGGGGUGACGCCUGCCCGGUGCUGGAAGGUUAAGAGGAGGGGUUAGCUUAGGCGAAGCUCUGAAUUGAAGCCCCAGUAAACGGCGGCCGUAACUAUAACGGUCCUAAGGUAGCGAAAUUCCUUGUCGGGUAAGUUCCGACCCGCACGAAAGGCGUAAUGAUUUGGAUACUGUCUCAACGAGAGACUCGGUGAAAUUUUAGUACCUGUGAAGAUGCAGGUUACCCGCGACAGGACGGAAAGACCCCAUGGAGCUUUACUGCAGAUUGAUAUUGAGUACCUGUGAAGCAUGUACAGGAUAGGUAGGAGACAAUGAAGUUGGGACGCUAGUUUCAAGUGAGUCGCUGUUGGGAUACUACCCUUGCUUCAUGGUUGCUCUAACCCGCACGCAUAAUCGGCGUGGGAGACAGUGUCUGUCGGGCAGUUUGACUGGGGCGGUCGCCUCCUAAAGAGUAACGGAGGCGCCCAAAGGUUCCCUCAACAUGGUUGGAAAUCAUGUGUAGAGUGUAAAGGUAUAAGGGAGCUUGACUGCGAGAGCUACAACUCGAGCAGGUAGGAAACUAGGGCUUAGUGAUCCGGUGGUACCGCAUGGAAGGGCCAUCGCUCAACGGAUAAAAGCUACCCUGGGGAUAACAGGCUUAUCUCCCCCAAGAGUUCACAUCGACGGGGAGGUUUGGCACCUCGAUGUCGGCUCGUCGCAUCCUGGGGCUGUAGUCGGUCCCAAGGGUUGGGCUGUUCGCCCAUUAAAGCGGCACGCGAGCUGGGUUCAGAACGUCGUGAGACAGUUCGGUCCCUAUCCGUCGCGGGCGUAGGAAAUUUGAGAGGAUCUGCCCUUAGUACGAGAGGACCGGGGUGGACUUACCGCUGGUGUACCAGUUGUUCCGCCAGGAGCACCGCUGGGUAGCUAUGUAGGGAAGGGAUAAGCGCUGAAAGCAUCUAAGUGCGAAGCCCACCUCAAGAUGAGAUUUCCCAUUCUUUAUGAAUUAAGAGCCCUGAGAGAAGAUCAGGUUGAUAGGCUGGAAGUGGAAGUUCUGUGAGGGAUGGAGCGGACCAGUACUAAUAGCUCGAGGACUUUACCAAAA
RNAcentral lists this ribosomal RNA (2432 nucleotides) under Lactococcus garvieae. RNAcentral describes it as "partial 23S ribosomal RNA". It matches the Rfam family "Bacterial large subunit ribosomal RNA", at positions 475 to 2925 of the family's 2925-position model. Lineage: Bacteria; Bacillati; Bacillota; Bacilli; Lactobacillales; Streptococcaceae. The record is from RNAcentral.